AUGAAGACGUCCGCGCGGCGUCGCCCGGGUGACGGAAAUCAAAACAGGCAUUUCAGAAGGCCUCACGCAGGGCUGGGGGAGCCGCUCAGGGGCGGAGCACUUACCUGGCACGUGCGAGGCGGGGAGCUAAUCCGUGUCAGAGCGACGACAAGGAGCUCAACAUCAGCACAUCCUUAUGCAAAGCAAGUAACAUCUUCCUGCAAGCCUGGGAGGAAGAGCCGCACCCUGGUAUAUUUUUGCAAAACGCCACCACGUCUGGCUUCACGAAAGCCCCUGGUUCCGAGGCCGGCUCCUGCAUGCCGUGGGACGUGACCCCUCAUUCUGUUGAGGAGACCGGAGAAAAUCAGGAGAGCAGGGAGGAGGUGGGGAGGGGAGCCGUGCAGACCCCCUGGAAGGGUCUCUGGGACCCUGGACCCCCCAGGGCACUGGCCUACCUACUCCCCAGCAGGUAGGGGGUCCUGCAGGAAGUGGAGCCAUGUUAACCUCAGGGUGUCCCCUCUCUUGGGGAUGACCACCCCUGAGAGCCCAUUUUAGUGGGUACAAAAGGGGUGCAAGUGUGCACCAUUUCUAGGGUUUCGCCAGUCUCCUGAGACUCACCCUGUCCCCGAAGUGACAGCCAAGGGUAGGGGAAGGCGGGCUGCUUUGUCCCAAACAUCCUGUGAUGGCUUCUCACAAGAACCCCUCACCCAUGUAAUCAAGUCUCAUCCAGAAGCUGGAUGCUGCCCUCUGCUGCACCCCUCACGACAGCCCUCCUCGAUGCUAUUAUCUUCAUAUUACAAAUGAUGAGACUGGAGCCCAGAGAGGCAAAGCGACUUAUCCAAGGUCACACAGCAGGAUGAGGCUAUCUCUGUCUGGGAACAGCAGUGAGCAGUGUGUGCCAGGCUCUCCUUCCUCCGCACGAGGUAUUCCCUACCCCAGACCUGGGAGCCACAGUGCGAAAUCUGAAAACUCUAAGAGCUUUUCCUGUGUACACUGCAUUGCUUGUUCUGAGCACACUGAUGCAUUCAUUCAGCUUCCCCUAUAACCUACAGUCCAUGACUGUGCCCAUUUUACAGAUGAAGAAAGAGAUUUAGGGAGGCUAAGGAGCUUACCUGAGGCCACACAGUUGGGAAGCAGGCUGUGGCGGAUGAGGAGCAUUGGGGAAUCCAGUGCGUGUGGGUACAUUUUUUAAAUCGUGGUAUUUGCAUGGAAAAGUAUGGAAAAAUGGGUUCUAACUCGUUAGCUAUAGUUACUUACAGUAUUGAGAAAAUAUAUGGAAUCAUACUUCCUAAAGUCUUGUAAUGUUUGAAGCUUUAAAUCAGAAAAAUAAAAUAGAGAGGUG
Molecule: long non-coding RNA, 1321 nt
Filed under: Chinchilla lanigera (long-tailed chinchilla)
Lineage: Eukaryota; Metazoa; Chordata; Mammalia; Rodentia; Chinchillidae
Description: lncRNA (ENSCLAG00000026689.1)
Source: RNAcentral